CACAGACACUUUCGCGGCACCAGUAACGUGCAACUCCUACCCGGUUCCCUUAGUCUGCUUCAUCGGGUACGGUGUCUUGUCGACCUUUCCGCUUUUCUUAUCAUCGCGUGUGUCGCCAACGCUGUAGCCAUGAAGCUUGUGCGGCGUGCUCGAAAAAGCAUUCGUGAGCGUCGAAUGAAGGCGUGCAUUAAUGAUCUGAACUCGAAUUUGUCGAAGGUGGAGAUGCGCGUCUUUCGGAAGCAGAAGAAGGAGCGCGACGCGAAGCGCCAGGCCUUGGGAAUUAGUGAGCUUGUACCGAGGGAUGUACUAAAUGGCCGCAUGAAUCCUGAUCUGUACGCAGUGGAGUGCCGGCUUCACGAAGAGGCAGGCUUACCUAAGCCGCUGCCGUACCAAGGGUACAAGGAAGAUCUGUUGAGGAGUCGUGCCACCACCCACUGCGUGGGCUUUGUCGGGUUCCGGACGAUUCUGCAGGCUAUUCGAGCCCGCAAUAGGUAACAAGCAUUAAUUAUCAGUGUAGUGACAGGUUCGUUGGUUGGUGCCUCUUGGAGAAAUCUUCAGAGGUGCGUGAGGGAGUUUCGUGCUCUUCCUCCUCCUCUUAUUUGGCUCAGGGAGACUUGACGAAAGACGAC
RNAcentral lists this unclassified non-coding RNA (629 nucleotides) under Leishmania donovani. RNAcentral describes it as "gene:LdHU3.09.1860(CDS-product:hypothetical_prote in_conserved)". Lineage: Eukaryota; Euglenozoa; Kinetoplastea; Trypanosomatida; Trypanosomatidae. The record is from RNAcentral.